CACAUGCAAGUCGAGCGGCAGCACGGGGAGCUUGCUCCCUGGUGGCGAGCGGCGGACGGGUGAGUAAUGCAUAGGAAUCUGCCCGGUAGUGGGGGAUAACCUGGGGAAACCCAGGCUAAUACCGCAUACGUCCUACGGGAGAAAGCAGGGGAUCUUCGGACCUUGCGCUAUCGGAUGAGCCUAUGUCGGAUUAGCUGGUUGGUGAGGUAAUGGCUCACCAAGGCGACGAUCCGUAGCUGGUCUGAGAGGAUGAUCAGCCACACUGGGACUGAGACACGGCCCAGACUCCUACGGGAGGCAGCAGUGGGGAAUAUUGGACAAUGGGCGCAAGCCUGAUCCAGCCAUGCCGCGUGUGUGAAGAAGGCCCUCGGGUUGUAAAGCACUUUCAGCGAGGAAGAAGGCUUGGCGGUCAAUACCCGUCAAGAAGGACAUCACUCGCAGAAGAAGCACCGGCUAACUCCGUGCCAGCAGCCGCGGUAAUACGGAGGGUGCGAGCGUUAAUCGGAAUUACUGGGCGUAAAGCGCGCGUAGGUGGUUUGGCACGCCGGUUGUGAAAGCCCCGGGCUCAACCUGGGAACGGCAUCCGGAACGGCCAGACUAGAGUGCAGGAGAGGAAGGUAGAAUUCCCGGUGUAGCGGUGAAAUGCGUAGAGAUCGGGAGGAAUACCAGUGGCGAAGGCGGCCUUCUGGCCUGACACUGACACUGAGGUGCGAAAGCGUGGGUAGCAAACAGGAUUAGAUACCCUGGUAGUCCACGCCGUAAACGAUGUCGACUAGCCGUUGGGACCUUUAAGGACUUAGUGGCGCAGUUAACGCGAUAAGUCGACCGCCUGGGGAGUACGGCCGCAAGGUUAAAACUCCAAAUGAAUUGACGGGGGCCCGCACAAGCGGUGGAGCAUGUGGUUUAAUUCGAUGCAACGCGAAGAACCUU
This 930-nucleotide ribosomal RNA is filed under the name Salinicola sp. CPA-90. RNAcentral describes it as "bacterial SSU rRNA". It matches the Rfam family "Bacterial small subunit ribosomal RNA", at positions 52 to 972 of the family's 1533-position model. The record is from RNAcentral. Lineage: Bacteria; Pseudomonadati; Pseudomonadota; Gammaproteobacteria; Oceanospirillales; Halomonadaceae.